RNAcentral lists this long non-coding RNA (855 nucleotides) under Homo sapiens (human). RNAcentral describes it as "HSALNT0360994". Lineage: Eukaryota; Metazoa; Chordata; Mammalia; Primates; Hominidae. The record is from RNAcentral.
CCCAGACCCGUUUGUCCAGCUGCCUGGGAGAGGCAGGGUACCACAGAGGAGCUGGCAUCCCGAGAAAGGAUGCCACCACCAGCUGGUCCCUUCCAGAGCUCUGUCUGAACUCCACCAGCCUUGCUUCUGGCCUCAUCCUGCAGACCCAGGGGACACCUCCACUUGCAAGUUCAGUCCAUGGGCACUGCACACUCUCUCGGCCCCAAGUUGAACCCCUUUUCCUCACCCAACAUCCUCCAUUUCAACAAAUGGCAGCGUUGUGGGUAAAAUAACACCUCCUUCAGAGACAUUGACAUCCUCAUCCCUGACUUCGGCUGCAGCUCAGUGGUGCAAUCUCAGCUCAUUGCAACUUCCACCUCCCAGGAUGAAGCAAUCCUCCCACCUCAGCCUCUCCAGUAGCUGAGACUUCAAGCUCCCUCCAGCAGCCGAGCUGAUUUUUGUAUUUUUUUAUAGAGAUGGGGUUUCACCAUGUUGCCCAGGCUGGUGUCAAAUCCCUGGGCUCAAGUAAUCUGCCCACCUCGACCUCCCAAAGUGCUGGGAUUGCCUGCGUGAGCCCCAUCCCCGGCCUGCUCAUUUCCUUCUAGUGCUGAAGAAUAUUCCGAUGUCUGGAUAGACCACAGUUUGUCUGUCCACUCACCUCUAGGCAGACAUCUUGGUUGCUUCCAGUUUUUAGUGACGGUGAAUAAAACUGCUCUAAACAUUCGUGUGCAGGUGUUGGUGUGAACAUAAGUUUUCAACUCAUUUAUCGAGUGGCUGCACCGUUUUGCAGUUCCGCCAGCAACGCAUGAGACUUCCUGUUGCCGCACGCCCACCCCGGCAUUUGGCGUUGUCAGUGUUUUGGAUUUUGGCCAUUCU